UACGUAGGGGGCAAGCGUUGCUCGGAAUUACUGGGCGUAAAGGGCGCGUAGGCGGCACGGCAAGUCAGGAGUGAAAGCCCGGGGCUCAACCCCGGAAUGUCUUUUGAAACUGCCGGGCUAGAGUCCGGAAGAGGCGAGUGGAAUUCCUGGUGUAGCGGUGAAAUGCGCAGAUAUCAGGAGGAACACCAAUGGCGAAGGCAGCUCGCUGGGACGGUACUGACGCUGAGGCGCGAAAGCGUGGGGAGCAAACAGG
RNAcentral lists this ribosomal RNA (253 nucleotides) under uncultured bacterium. RNAcentral's name for it is "partial 16S ribosomal RNA". It matches the Rfam family "Bacterial small subunit ribosomal RNA", at positions 524 to 776 of the family's 1533-position model. The record is from RNAcentral.